AUUGAACGCUGGCGGCAGGCCUAACACAUGCAAGUCGAGCGGAUGAAGGGAGCUUGCUCCUGGAUUCAGCGGCGGACGGGUGAGUAAUGCCUAGGAAUCUGCCUGGUAGUGGGGGAUAACGUCCGGAAACGGGCGCUAAUACCGCAUACGUCCUGAUGGAGAAAGUGGGGGAUCUUCGGACCUCACGCUAUCAGAUGAGCCUAGGUCGGAUUAGCUAGUUGGUGGGGUAAAGGCCUACCAAGGCGACGAUCCGUAACUGGUCUGAGAGGAUGAUCAGUCACACUGGAACUGAGACACGGUCCAGACUCCUACGGGAGGCAGCAGUGGGGAAUAUUGGACAAUGGGCGAAAGCCUGAUCCAGCCAUGCCGCGUGUGUGAAGAAGGUCUUCGGAUCGUAAAGCUCUUUAAGUUGGGAGGAAGGGCAGUGAGUUAAUACCUUGCUGUCUUGACGGUACCAACAGAAUAAGCAACGGCUAACUUCGUG
RNAcentral lists this ribosomal RNA (484 nucleotides) under uncultured bacterium. RNAcentral describes it as "partial 16S ribosomal RNA". It matches the Rfam family "Bacterial small subunit ribosomal RNA", at positions 30 to 507 of the family's 1533-position model. The record is from RNAcentral.